UGGCCUUCAACUCCCGCGUCGCCCAUCCACACGUGCCCGUCUCGCCGCCAGUAGAUCCGGCGGCAGCCGCGGAGCUAGUCGAGCAGUCCCUGGACGGAACAGAAUUAAUGCGCGCCGUUCCUGGCCGUGGGCAGGCCGCCGCGGUGAAGGCCAACUCCGGCCUCCCCGUGCCACCUCCCCCUUCGGCAGAGUCAUUCGGUUCAACCCUGGCCAGCAGCCCUUCCUGUUCGGUCUCCGGACGAAGUUCAAUGGUGGCGUUGAUUCCCUAACUUGCCAAUCUCACAGAACCAUUCAGGGCCGCUGUUGAAUCACCAUGUCCACAGAACAAUUUCUACCGGGUGAGAAUGCUGGGAACACGACGGACAGUGCGGUAUGUAGCACUCUUAUACUCUGAAGUCUCGAAUUUGUUUGCUACAUGAUCAAACAAAUUAUGUAAUUUACAGUAU
Hordeum vulgare subsp. vulgare (domesticated barley) is the source of this 446-nucleotide long non-coding RNA. RefSeq lists it as uncharacterized. The record is from RefSeq and is a predicted model, not a curated record. The transcript is spliced from 3 exons. Lineage: Eukaryota; Viridiplantae; Streptophyta; Magnoliopsida; Poales; Poaceae.